ACCACCUGUUACAAACAACCCAGGCC
Molecule: non-coding RNA, 26 nt
Filed under: Arabidopsis thaliana (thale cress)
Lineage: Eukaryota; Viridiplantae; Streptophyta; Magnoliopsida; Brassicales; Brassicaceae
Source: RNAcentral